This 236-nucleotide ribosomal RNA is filed under the name uncultured Lactobacillus sp. RNAcentral describes it as "partial 16S ribosomal RNA". It matches the Rfam family "Bacterial small subunit ribosomal RNA", at positions 126 to 354 of the family's 1533-position model. The record is from RNAcentral. Lineage: Bacteria; Bacillati; Bacillota; Bacilli; Lactobacillales; Lactobacillaceae.
UAGCCCAAGAGAUCGGGAUAACACCUGGAAACAGAUGCUAAUACCGGAUAAUAACAGAUGAUGCCUAUCAACUGUUUAAAAGAUGGUUCUGCUAUCACUCUUGGAUGGACCUGCGGUGCAUUAGCUAGUUGGUAGGGUAACGGCCUACCAAGGCGAUGAUGCAUAGCCGAGUUGAGAGACUGAUCGGCCACAUUGGGACUGAGACACGGCCCAAACUCCUACGGGAGGCAGCAGGC